Fundulus heteroclitus (mummichog) is the source of this 159-nucleotide long non-coding RNA. RefSeq lists it as uncharacterized. The transcript is spliced from 2 exons. The record is from RefSeq and is a predicted model, not a curated record. NCBI's taxonomy places the organism in Eukaryota, Metazoa, Chordata, Actinopteri, Cyprinodontiformes, Fundulidae.
GGAACCUUCUUAAGGCAGUCGUUUCAGCUCCGGCCUCUUUUAGGGGACGGACCUGGACACAAGGACAAGGGCCCAACCACUCUACUAUAAAGUGCUGCAGUGCCACUGGAUCUAAAACCAGGAAAAGGAAAUGCAUUCAAUAAACAUUUAUACAAAUAA